Molecule: non-coding RNA, 307 nt
Organism: Macaca mulatta (Rhesus monkey)
Lineage: Eukaryota; Metazoa; Chordata; Mammalia; Primates; Cercopithecidae
Source: RefSeq, a predicted model, not a curated record
GGAGCGUACAGGUAGGCGGGACGAAAGGCACGCAGAGGAACGCGGGAGUUUACAGCCGUAAAAGAAGAACAGAACCGACCUGCAGGGCAGAGUGAGAACAGAGCCAGCCAGUGGGAAGAGGGCUCUCCAGAGCUUGGCACGGCGCUCACAGCAGAUUGGCAACCUGAAGGCGGGCGUGAGUCAGCAUCCCUCAGUAGCAGGGAGUGAGUGGGAGCGGGGAAGGAGCCAUACAGAUUCCAGACGCACCUCAGAUCCUGGUCGGUGUGCUUAGAAUUCAUCCCAAUUAUGUUUACAUGUCAUUCAUUCA